UUAAGCGACUAAGCGUACACGGUGGAUGCCCUGGCAGUCAGAGGCGAUGAAGGACGUGCUAAUCUGCGAUAAGCGUCGGUAAGGUGAUAUGAACCGUUAUAACCGGCGAUUUCCGAAUGGGGAAACCCAGUGUGAUUCGUCACACUAUCAUUACGUGAAUACAUAGCGUAAUGAAGCGAACCGGGGGAACUGAAACAUCUAAGUACCCCGAGGAAAAGAAAUCAACCGAGAUUCCCCCAGUAGCGGCGAGCGAACGGGGAGCAGCCCAGAGUCUGAAUCAGCUUGUGUGUUAGUGGAACGGUCUGGAAAGUCCGACGGUACAGGGUGAUAGUCCCGUACACCAAAAUGCACAGGUUGUGAACUCGAAGAGUAGGGCGGGACACGUGGUAUCCUGUCUGAAUAUGGGGGGACCAUCCUCCAAGGCUAAAUACUCCUGACUGACCGAUAGUGAACCAGUACCGUGAGGGAAAGGCGAAAAGAACCCCGGCGAGGGGAGUGAAAAAGAACCUGAAACCGUGUACGUACAAGCAGUGGGAGCCUCUUUGUUGGGUGACUGCGUACCUUUUGUAUAAUGGGUCAGCGACUUAUAUUCUGUAGCAAGGUUAACCGUAUAGGGGAGCCGAAGGGAAACCGAGUCUUAACUGGGCGUUAAGUUGCAGGGUAUAGACCCGAAACCCGGUGAUCUAGCCAUGGGCAGGUUGAAGGUUGGGUAACACUAACUGGAGGACCGAACCGACUAAUGUUGAAAAAUUAGCGGAUGACUUGUGGCUGGGGGUGAAAGGCCAAUCAAACCGGGAGAUAGCUGGUUCUCCCCGAAAGCUAUUUAGGUAGCGCCUCGUGAAUUCAUCUUCGGGGGUAGAGCACUGUUUCGGCUAGGGGGUCAUCCCGACUUACCAACCCGAUGCAAACUGCGAAUACCGAAGAAUGUUAUCACGGGAGACACACGGCGGGUGCUAACGUCCGUCGUGAAGAGGGAAACAACCCAGACCGCCAGCUAAGGUCCCAAAGUCAUGGUUAAGUGGGAAACGAUGUGGGAAGGCACAGACAGCCAGGAUGUUGGCUUAGAAGCAGCCAUCAUUUAAAGAAAGCGUAAUAGCUCACUGGUCGAGUCGGCCUGCGCGGAAGAUGUAACGGGGCUAAACCAUGCACCGAAGCUGCGGCAGCGACACUAUGUGUUGUUGGGUAGGGGAGCGUUCUGUAAGCCGUUGAAGGUGUAUCGUGAGGUAUGCUGGAGGUAUCAGAAGUGCGAAUGCUGACAUAAGUAACGAUAAUGCGGGUGAAAAACCCGCACGCCGGAAGACCAAGGGUUCCUGUCCAACGUUAAUCGGGGCAGGGUGAGUCGACCCCUAAGGCGAGGCCGAAAGGCGUAGUCGAUGGGAAACAGGUUAAUAUUCCUGUACUUGGUGUUACUGCGAAGGGGGGACGGAGAAGGCUAUGUUAGCCGGGCGACGGUUGUCCCGGUUUAAGCAUGUAGGCGGAGGUUCCAGGUAAAUCCGGUACCUUUUAACGCUGAGGUGUGAUGACGAGGCACUACGGUGCUGAAGUAACAAAUGCCCUGCUUCCAGGAAAAGCCUCUAAGCAUCAGGUAACACGAAAUCGUACCCCAAACCGACACAGGUGGUCAGGUAGAGAAUACCAAGGCGCUUGAGAGAACUCGGGUGAAGGAACUAGGCAAAAUGGUGCCGUAACUUCGGGAGAAGGCACGCUGAUAUGUAGGUGAAGUGAUUUACUCAUGGAGCUGAAAUCAGUCGAAGAUACCAGCUGGCUGCAACUGUUUAUUAAAAACACAGCACUGUGCAAACACGAAAGUGGACGUAUACGGUGUGACGCCUGCCCGGUGCCGGAAGGUUAAUUGAUGGGGUUAUCCGUAAGGAGAAGCUCUUGAUCGAAGCCCCGGUAAACGGCGGCCGUAACUAUAACGGUCCUAAGGUAGCGAAAUUCCUUGUCGGGUAAGUUCCGACCUGCACGAAUGGCGUAAUGAUGGCCAGGCUGUCUCCACCCGAGACUCAGUGAAAUUGAACUCGCUGUGAAGAUGCAGUGUACCCGCGGCAAGACGGAAAGACCCCGUGAACCUUUACUAUAGCUUGACACUGAACACUGGUCCUUGAUGUGUAGGAUAGGUGGGAGGCUUUGAAGUGUGGACGCCAGUCUGCAUGGAGCCAUCCUUGAAAUACCACCCUUUAAUGGCUGGUGUUCUAACGUGGACCCGUUACCCGGGUUGCGGACAGUGUCUGGUGGGUAGUUUGACUGGGGCGGUCUCCUCCUAAAGAGUAACGGAGGAGCACGAAGGUUAGCUAAUCCUGGUCGGACAUCAGGAGGUUAGUGCAAAGGCAUAAGCUAGCUUGACUGCGAGAGUGACGGCUCGAGCAGGUGCGAAAGCAGGUCUUAGUGAUCCGGUGGUUCUGAAUGGAAGGGCCAUCGCUCAACGGAUAAAAGGUACUCCGGGGAUAACAGGCUGAUACCGCCCAAGAGUUCAUAUCGACGGCGGUGUUUGGCACCUCGAUGUCGGCUCAUCACAUCCUGGGGCUGAAGUAGGUCCCAAGGGUAUGGCUGUUCGCCAUUUAAAGUGGUACGCGAGCUGGGUUUAGAACGUCGUGAGACAGUUCGGUCCCUAUCUGCCGUGGGCGCUGGAGAAUUGAGGGGGGCUGCUCCUAGUACGAGAGGACCGGAGUGGACGCAUCACUGGUGUUCGGGUUGUCAUGCCAAUGGCAUUGCCCGGUAGCUAAAUGCGGAAGAGAUAAGUGCUGAAAGCAUCUAAGCACGAAACUUGCCCCGAGAUGAGUUCUCCCUGAGACUUUAAGUCUCCUGAAGGAACGUUGAAGACGACGACGUUGAUAGGUCGGGUGUGUAAGUGUAGCGAUACAUUGAGCUAACCGAUACUAAUGAACCGUGAGGCUUAACCUU
RNAcentral lists this ribosomal RNA (2904 nucleotides) under Citrobacter freundii. RNAcentral describes it as "bacterial LSU rRNA". It matches the Rfam family "Bacterial large subunit ribosomal RNA". The record is from RNAcentral. Lineage: Bacteria; Pseudomonadati; Pseudomonadota; Gammaproteobacteria; Enterobacterales; Enterobacteriaceae.